RNAcentral lists this ribosomal RNA (738 nucleotides) under Streptomyces canescens. RNAcentral describes it as "bacterial SSU rRNA". It matches the Rfam family "Bacterial small subunit ribosomal RNA", at positions 112 to 861 of the family's 1533-position model. Lineage: Bacteria; Bacillati; Actinomycetota; Actinomycetes; Kitasatosporales; Streptomycetaceae. The record is from RNAcentral.
AACACGUGGGCAAUCUGCCCUGCACUCUGGGACAAGCCCUGGAAACGGGGUCUAAUACCGGAUAUGACCACCGGCCGCAUGGUCUGGUGGUGGAAAGCUCCGGCGGUGCAGGAUGAGCCCGCGGCCUAUCAGCUUGUUGGUGGGGUGAUGGCCUACCAAGGCGACGACGGGUAGCCGGCCUGAGAGGGCGACCGGCCACACUGGGACUGAGACACGGCCCAGACUCCUACGGGAGGCAGCAGUGGGGAAUAUUGCACAAUGGGCGCAAGCCUGAUGCAGCGACGCCGCGUGAGGGAUGACGGCCUUCGGGUUGUAAACCUCUUUCAGCAGGGAAGAAGCGCGAGUGACGGUACCUGCAGAAGAAGCACCGGCUAACUACGUGCCAGCAGCCGCGGUAAUACGUAGGGUGCGAGCGUUGUCCGGAAUUAUUGGGCGUAAAGAGCUCGUAGGCGGCCUGUCGCGUCGGAUGUGAAAGCCCGGGGCUUAACCCCGGGUCUGCAUUCGAUACGGGCAGGCUAGAGUUCGGCAGGGGAGAUUGGAAUUCCUGGUGUAGCGGUGAAAUGCGCAGAUAUCAGGAGGAACACCGGUGGCGAAGGCGGAUCUCUGGGCCGAUACUGACGCUGAGGAGCGAAAGCGUGGGGAGCGAACAGGAUUAGAUACCCUGGUAGUCCACGCCGUAAACGUUGGGCACUAGGUGUGGGCGGCAUUCCACGUCGUCCGUGCCGCAGCUAACGCAUU